UACGUAGGGGGCAAGCGUUGUCCGGAAUCAUUGGGCGUAAAGAGCGCGUAGGCGGCCCAGUAAGUCCGCUCUGAAAGUCAGGGGCUCAACCCCUGAAUGCGGGUGGAUACUGCUGGGCUAGAGUCCGGAAGAGGCGAGUGGAAUUCCUGGUGUAGCGGUGAAAUGUGCAGAUAUCAGGAGGAACACCGGUGGCGAAGGCGGGUCUCUGGGCCGAUACUGACGCUGAGGAGCGAAAGCAUGGGUAGCGAACAGG
This 253-nucleotide ribosomal RNA is filed under the name uncultured bacterium. Its description in RNAcentral is "partial 16S ribosomal RNA". It matches the Rfam family "Bacterial small subunit ribosomal RNA", at positions 524 to 776 of the family's 1533-position model. The record is from RNAcentral.